Acinonyx jubatus (cheetah) is the source of this 6583-nucleotide long non-coding RNA. RefSeq lists it as uncharacterized. The transcript is spliced from 2 exons. Lineage: Eukaryota; Metazoa; Chordata; Mammalia; Carnivora; Felidae. The record is from RefSeq and is a predicted model, not a curated record.
UUUUUACUGGAAAGGAAGGAACCAGUCAAUUGAGGGAGAGUUUUUGUUUUGUUUUGUUUUGUUUUGUUUUGUUUUGUUUUGUUUAACCCUGGGUCUGUUUUGAGAGUUCUCUCAUGUGGGCAGUUUUUUUUUGUUUUAAGAUUUUAGUUUUAAAGUAAUCUCUAUACCCAAUGUGGGGCUCGAACUUACAACCCUGAGAUGAAGCGUUGCAUGCUCUACUGACUGAUGCAGCCAGGCGCCCCUCAUGUGAGCAGUUAUGUCAGGAAUGUUGAAUGGUGUCCUGGGUCUUGUUCUCAAGAAAACGUGGGGGAAACUUUUUAGGAUUCAUGUGGCCUUUACUCGUAGAGGGGAAGUUGAAGGCCUGACACUGAAGGGCAGUUUGGUUUAACAGAGGAGAGUCUCCAAGGCCCCAGCUAACACAGUCUAGGUGCAUACCUUCUGGUCAUCUGACCUGAUCCAGGAAGGGCGCUUAGAACCCUUAGGGAGGGUGGAGAACAGUCCCUAAGUAAACUGCUUCCAGGGCAACAGUGUGUAUGCACUCUAGGUGGUUCUGUUUGAGGUUAUGUAACAUAGCGGAGAAGAGCAGGCACCUUGCAUAGAAUUCUAUACAAACGUACACCCCCGUCCUCCUAAAAAAGACUGUAGAUGCAAAAGUGGGUGAAACCCGUAGAUUCCAUAGACUCGUUAAGUAUACUGUGCAUAUAUCAGUGUCUUCGUUUUGGCAAAGUGCUGUUGUUACGUAAGCCCCCACUGUUGGGAGAAGCCGGGCCAUGGGUCCAGAAGGCUUCUGUCCUAUUUUUGCACCUUCUUAUGAACCUGUAAUUAAUUCAAGAUGAAACUUUUUUUUAAAAAAGCAGGGUCAUUGGCAACAGAGCUGGAUUCGGUGCCACAGUACCCCGUGCUAAGUGGUGACUCUUCUCUUAGCACGUACCGGGACUGGAAACUGCACAUUUGCUCUUUGCCUCGGGAAUACAAACUCCACGAAAGGGGAAAGGGAUCCAUUUUGUUCACUGCCAACUUCUCCAGUACCUAGCAUGGGGCCUGGUGCCCAUUUUUUUUGUACUCGAAUGUUUGGGUGAUUUAAACUCUCAGAGUGUUCUGUCCUUGUUACAGUGAGAACAAUGCCACUUCCUCAGGACCUUGGGAGAAUUAGAGGUAUGUAAUGUUAGUAAAGCUCAGGGCCUGCUGGAGAGCAAAUGCUCGACUCCAGAGGUCAGCAGACUUUCUGUAGUGGACCAGUCAGUGUAUUAAGCUCUGCAGGCAAUAUAGCCUUGACUGCCCCUACUCACCUCUGCCACUGUAGCACAAAAGCAGUCAUAGAUAAUGUGUCAGUAGUGAAUGUGGCCAUGGUCCAAUGAAAUCUUAUUUAUGAACACUAAGACUUGAAUUUCAUAUACUUUUCGGGGCGCCUGGGUAGCUCAGUCGGUUUAGCAUCUGACUUCGACUCAGGUCAUGAUCGCCCUAGUUUGUGAGUUCUAGCCCCGUGUUGGGAUCUCCACUGUUGGCACAGAGCCUGCUUUGGAUCCUCUGUUCCCGCCCCUCUCCCCGCCUCCCACCCCCCGCUUACACUGUCUCUCUCUCUGUCUCUCUCAAAAUAAAUAAUAAACUUUAAAAAAAUAACUAAAUGAAUAUCAUACAGUUUCCAAAUCAUGAAGCAUUCUUUUUUUUUUCCCCAGCCAUUUAAAAAUAUAAAAACCACCCUUAGCUUGUGAGCCAUAAAAAACCAGGCAGUGGGCUAAAUCUGGCCUCCAGGUCCCAGUUUUCUUGGUAUGGUAGGCAUUGCCAUUUGGGGCGGGUUUGUUCUCCAUAUUGCUGGCCACAGGUGCACACAAGCUGUGGAAACUAGGUCCUUUGGUGGCAAAGUUAAUUUUCCCUCGCAAAAGGGGAUCUGUGUAAUGGAUCAUCUCUGGGCCGGGAGCAAGGCUGCCCCCGUGGCCUAAGUCAGCCCAGCCUGCAUUGAACUCUGGAAGCUCCAUUCUCCAUGCGAAUUCUUAAAAAUCCUCUUGCUCUAGGUACCAUGUUGUAGAGUAUUCUCCACGUGAACUUGUCUUGUGGAAAGGUCAAAUAGAUUCGGGUUCAAACCCUGCCGGAACAACCCGUUCAGCUCCAUGAGCUUGGGAAGGUCCCUCAGACCCUCUGAAACUCACUGGUCUCCGUUUAAAAAUCCGAAUGGGGACGUAGAGUAGAGCCAUGUUUGUGGCUGCUUCGUGUCUUUUAUUUUGGGCCAGCUAACAUCCAUUAGGUUCUUUUUGGGCCAGCUAACAUCCAUUAGGUUCUUUUUGGGCCAGCUAACAUCCAUUAGGUUCUUUUUGGGCUAGCUAAUAUCGAUGAAGUUCUUUUUCUGCCUAAAGUACUUUUGCUCACCUAGUACAUUAAUAGGUUGCUCUGAGAACUGACACAAAACAAUAUAUUAAGGACCUAACACUUAAUAACCAUUUUAAUUGGACACCUUCCGUAAUAUUUAAACCUAGAUGAGGUAAAGGAGUAUCUGUCUAGAACAGAAUGAGGUAAGAUUGUCACACACACACGCACAGCUACUCAAUUCACUCAGUUUGAAGUUUUUCUUCAAUUUUUUGUCUUUCUCAGAAUUAGCCUGACACAUACUCAUAUUUUUUUUCAGAGUUUUACUUAAACUUCUCAGAUAUUUUGUCCCUGAACAGGUUGGAGACCAAUGUGAUACCGCUUUUACUCUUAAAAUCAUGAAACACUUCAGCUGUUAAUACUGUUAAAUUAUUACUAGCUGAAUUAUUUUCUUUGUGUUCAGAUAAAUUGUAGAUAGAUUGAUUGGGUGACGCCCCCUAGUAAAAUUUUUCUUUUAAUUUUUUUUUUUUUUUUUUUACAUUUAUUCAUUUUUGAGAGACAGACACACAGCACAAGCAGGGGAGGGGCAGAGAGAGAGGGAGACACAGAAUCUGAAGCAGGCUCCAGGCUCUGAGCUGUCAGGACAGAGCCCAACGCGGGACUCAAACUCACAAACUGCGAGAUCAUGACCUGAGCCGAAGUCGGACGCAUAACCGACUGAGCCACCCAGGCGCUGUGCCCCCCCACCCCCCAGUAAAAUUUUAUAUUUUGUCUUUGUGUAUGCUAGGAAUUAUGAUUUUCUGCCAAUUCAGAAUAAAGUUAAUUUAGAAAAUUAGGGGAAUAAAAGUUUAGUGGCAUAUAUAAAUGCCUCUUGGAAGGCUUUUCAAAGUUGAUUAGAUCAAUAGAGUCAAUACAUUUUUUAAAAUAAUUUUUUAAAUGUUUAUUUUUCAGAGAGAGAGAGAGGGAGGGAGAGAAGGAACUUGAGUCGGGGAGGGGCAGAGAGAGAGGUGAACAGAGGUUCCAAAGCAGGUUCUGUGCUGACAGCAGCUAGCCCGAUGCGGGGCUCAAACUACGAACCAUGAGAUCAUGACAUGAGCCGAAGUCAGAUGUUCAACUGACUGAGCCACUCAGGUGCCCAUAAAGUUUUUUUAAGCCCCAGUGCAGGGCUUGAACUCAUGACCCUGAGGUAAAGACCUGAGUUGAGAUCAAGAGUUGGACACUUAACCAAAUGAGCCACCCAGGUGCCCCAAACCAGAGUAAAUAUUUUAUUUUAUUUUAUUUUAUUUUAUUUUAUUUAUUUAACAUUUAUUUAUUUUUGAGACAGAGAGAGACAGAGCAUGAACGGGGUGGGUCAGAGAGAGAGGGAGACACAGAAUCAGAAGCAGGCUCCAGGCUCCGAGCUGUCAGCACAGAGCCCGACGUGGGGCUCGAACUCACGGACCGUGAGAUCAUGACCUGGGCCGAAGUCGGACGCUCAACCGACUGAGCCACCCAGGCGCCCCCAGAGUAAAUAUUUUAGAAAAUUAUUCGUUCAAAAAAAAUCCACAUUAUUUCAUGUGUUCCCUCAACCUUACAGAGAUGGCCAAAAUGAAGCCUGUUGAGUCAUACUUCUGCUGUGAGUGAAAAUGUGAAAAUUAUCUGGAGGCUCUUGGUAGGAAAACCAGAGAAUCUGAAAGUACACUCAUGUGCCAACUGAUUCUCACAAAGCAGUAGUGUUCUGUGCUUGAGGUUUGUCAAUGAAAGGGACAAUCUAUCCAGGGCUUUUAAAAAUUUUUUUAAGUUUAUUUAUUUUUGAGAGAGAGGCAGAGAGAGAAUCCCAGGCAGGCUCCAUAUACCAUCAGCACAGAGCCUGAUGGGGGGCUCGCACUCAUGAGCCACGAGAUCGUGACCUGAGUCGAAAUCAAGAGUGGGACAUUCAACCAACUGAACUGCCCAGGUGCCCCCAUGUAGGGCUUUUUAAAAGAAAGCAUUUAUGAAGGGGCACCCGGGUGGCUCAGUCAGUUAAGUGUUCGAUUCUUGGUUUCAGCCCAGGUCAUGAUCUCACAGUUCAUGAGAUUGAGCCCCAUGUCUGGCUCUGCACUCACAGUACAGACAGAGCCUGCUUGGGAUUUUCUCCCUUCCUCUCUCUCUGCUUCUCCCCUGCUCGCUCUCUCUCUCGCUCGCUCGCUGUCUCUCAAAAUAAAUAAACAUUAAAAAAAGCAUUUAUGAAAUCUUAACUCACAUGAUAUAUACUAUUCACUUGACAUGAUGCGUUUUAUUGUGGGUCAUAAAACUAAGGUUCCAGAAGAUUGGGUCACUUGCCAGACACCACAUGGCUAGCCCUGGGAUCUGAACCCAUGCAGCCAGACUGCAGAACCCAUGAUCUUUUUGCAACAUCUAUGUGUCCAGGAGUCUGCAAACAUAGGAUUAUAUGUAAUAGAUCCUUACCCUCAAGGGACUUAGAAUUAGCUGAGGGACUGACUUUCAUGCUUGAGGGUAACUAGAUGAAAAUACAGCCGUCAUUUCUAAAGCCCUUUUUUCCAAACAGGUUAUCUCAUUUGAAUUUCCUGCAACUAUAAAUCAACUGAGGGGUGCCUGGGUGGCUCAGUCGGUGGAGCGUCCAACUUCGGCUCAGGUCAUGAUCUCGCAGUCUGUGAGUUCGAGCCCCGCGUCGGGCUCUGUGCUGACCGCUCAGAGCCUGGAGCCUGUUUCAGAUUCUGUAUCUCCCUCUCUCUCUGACCCUACCCCGUUCAUGCUCUGUCUUUCUCUUUCUGUCAAAAAUAAAUAAACAUUAAAAAAAAAAUUUUUUUUAAUAAAAAUAAAUAAAUCAACCGAGGCACAUGCCAUUAGCUUGUUUUCCUGGUGAGGAAACCAAAACUCAAAGAAUUAGUGGCUGACCUAAGGUUAUACCAGCAAGUGGCAAAACCAGAGUCCUGAUCCUUUGUCUCUAGCGAUCUCCUUCAUACCAGAAGUCGCAAAAUCAUCUACAAACAGGGAGCAGGCAGGCAGCAUAAAUGAGCAAAGCGGGCCAGUCAUUGGGCUGCACGGAGCAGUGGGUUUGUGGAGAAGCAGAGAUUGUGCCUUCCGUCUUUGAGGCCCUGCCUCGUGGCUGCAGCUGAUCGUUGCCAGGGAGGAGUGAAGGGCUCAAUGGUAGCAGAUCUUUUGAUUUUCAGAGAAGCUGUAAGUCUGAAUUUUUUUUAAGUUUAUUUAUCUUGAGAGAGAGCGUGCGGGAGCCGGGGAGAAGCAGAGAGAGGGAGAGAGAGAUGUUUUAGCUGUUGUGAUUAAUGCUACUACGGACAUGAAUGUACGACUAUCUCUUUGAGAUCUUGCUUUCAAUUCUUUUGGGAUUAAACCCAGAAGUGACAUUGCUGGAUCCUAUGGUAGUUCCAGUUUUAAUUUUUUGAGGAACCGCCUGCCAUACUGUUUUCUACAGGGGCAGUGCCAUUUUACAUUCUCACCCACAAAUACAGUGGUUUGAGAAUUUUUAAGAGAAGGUUCGUAAGAAAUAGUGUAUUAAAAUUCAGACUUAUGGGGGCUCCUGGUAGCUUAGUUGGUUAAGUGGCUGACUUUGGCUCAGGUCAAGGUCUCAUGUUUGUCAGAUCGAGCCCCACAUUGGGCUGUGCAUUGGGAUUCUCUCUCUCUCUCUCUGCCCCUCCCCUGCUCACGCAUGCUCUCUCUCAAAACAAAUAAAUCAACAUUAAAAAAAAAGGGUUCUGGAGAUGGAUGGCCAUGAUGGCUUCACAACAAUGUGAAUGUAUUUAAUACUACUGGACUAUACACUUAAAAAUGGUUAAGGUGGGGGCGCCUGGGUGGCGCAGUCGGUUAAGCGUCCAACUUCAGCUCAGGUCACGAUCUCGCGGUCCGUGAGUUCGAGCCCCGCGUCGGGCUCUGGGCUGAUGGCUCAGAGCCUGGAGCCUGCUUCCGAUUCUGUAUCUCCCUCUCUCUCUGCCCCUCCCCCGUUCAUGCUCUGUCUCUAUCUCAAAAAAAUAAAUAAACGUUAAGAAAAAGUUUUUUUUAAAUAAAAAUUAAAAAAUGGUUAAGGUGGUAAAUUUCAUGUGGUGUGUCUUUUACCAUAAUUUUUCAAAAUUGGGAAAAAAACAACACUAUUGAAAAACACUAUGUGUGCUAAACAGAAUUGGCCAUUGGUCCUCAAGUUUGAGAAUUUGAAAUUUGGUGGAUACUCUGUGGCCUCUAAGACAAACUCUGAUUGCAUUUCCCCAAAUGAGUAGGAAGUGAGGACAGCCAUGGUGUCAGGGAAGGCUUCCGGAAAGAGGUGAGAUCUGAAAGGAGGCUUUAAAGACAG